UGGGUGUUCCUGUCCCCGUGUCCCCUGUCCCUGUCCCCACCCUGGUGCCAAAUCUCAAUGUCCCCAAACCGUGUCCUUGUCCCUGUCCCUGUGUGUGUGUCCCCAUCCCUCUGUCCCUGUCCCUGUGUCAAUCUCAAUGUCCCCAAACCGUGUCCCUGUCCCUGUCCCCAAACCCUGAUGGUGUCCCCAUGUCCUUGUCCCUGUGCCAGCGGCCUGGCCGGGCCUGAGGCCCUGUCCCCAUCCCUGUGUCCCUGUCCCUGUGUCCCUCUGUCCAUCCCUGUCCCCAUCCUGUUGUCCCUGUCCCCACCCUGGUGCCAAUCCCGAUGUCCCCGUGUAAAUCCCAAUGUCCCCAGGCCCUGAUGGUGUCCCCGUGUCCUUGUCCCUGUGCCAGAGGCCUGGC
This is a long non-coding RNA of Zonotrichia albicollis (white-throated sparrow), 400 nucleotides long. The record is from Ensembl. NCBI's taxonomy places the organism in Eukaryota, Metazoa, Chordata, Aves, Passeriformes, Passerellidae.